ACGGCAGGCCAGUAAUACACUGAGACUGCCGUUAGCUGAAGCUAACAAGCUGAAUCUACAAUAAAAUUACAUCCUACUGGCGUUCAUCAGUGCUGCCCAACGUGAUGUGUGUGUCUGCCUCCUCCUGACUAUCUCACCUGGCCAGGAAGACGUUCAACAUCUGGAGAGGACCCAAGUACACCGUGAUAAAAGCCUCUGAGGACACCGUGAACACAAGAGUGUGGACAUGGCUGGAUGUCGUUGGUUCUGCGAGGAGAGAGAGGGAAAGAGAGGAGGCAAGCAUGUAAUCCCAGUCAUUAGUGGGCUUAAAAAGGAUUUGGUGGAGCUACAAUAAUGGAGACUCCAGUGGCCUCCACUGCAAGACCCAAAGAGACCCAACAGGGAGGAGCGCCAUCCACAGAGGUACAACUGUUUUAGUUGACUCAACUGAGAGAAAGUAAUCUGGAUUUUUGAGUGAAGCUGUCUGUCUCUGUGUGACUGCAAAUGGCAACCACAAAAUUUAGUCCUUUUGCUCUUGGUCUCACACGGAUCUCACACACACAUUCUUGCUCUGAUUCCCAUGCUUCCCAGCCCCAUAGAGGGGUGUAAACACAGUGCGGCUGGUGUUGCCAUGGCGAAGCCUGCCUGCAGCCCAAGAAUGGCGACUAUGCUCUGCAUGCGGAGGGGCAGAGGACAUGAAUGCAAGGCAGCGUAUACAGUAACACAUUCAGACAUACCCUCAUGAUGCUGAUUAAAACUGAGCUGGACAGAAUUUCAAAUUUAUAAAACAUUUGUUUUGCUUGUAUGGACUAGUCAAACUACAAUCAAACUACAGUUUCUUUAAGACGGUCUAAUCGUAAAAACAAAAUAAACUGAGUUCUUUGUUCAGUUUUUUCCAGAGUCUUUUGUGUUGCUUUUGUAAACCCAGUAUUGUGUUUUGUCUCGUCAUGUGAGCUAACUAUGAUGUU
Long non-coding RNA from Xiphophorus maculatus (southern platyfish), 947 nucleotides. RefSeq lists it as uncharacterized. NCBI's taxonomy places the organism in Eukaryota, Metazoa, Chordata, Actinopteri, Cyprinodontiformes, Poeciliidae. The transcript has 3 exons. The record is from RefSeq and is a predicted model, not a curated record.